Long non-coding RNA from Triticum aestivum (bread wheat), 4695 nucleotides. RefSeq lists it as uncharacterized. NCBI's taxonomy places the organism in Eukaryota, Viridiplantae, Streptophyta, Magnoliopsida, Poales, Poaceae. The transcript has 4 exons. The record is from RefSeq and is a predicted model, not a curated record.
CCCACUGAACUUGGAUGGCCCGAACGAAAAGACUCCUCUACAACAGUCAGUCCACCACCAUCUUCUCCACAAAAAAACCAAACCACACACCUCGCGCAUUCUACGUCGGGCGGGCCGCCGCCCCUGCCCCCGACGUGCCGCCGUCCCUGCCUCCUGACCCCCCCGCCACGCGAGCCGGCCGCGCGGCCCCUCUCCCCCAACGCGCCACCACCUCCUCCUGAACUCGCCGCCGCUCACCGCCCCACACCAUCACGGCUGGCCGCCCCACCACCACCCCGCCUCACCAUGAAGGCUACCUCCCUGCACAUCACCCAUGCCUUCCGGUGCGCGACGACACACUGCCUGGCGUGCCGUCUCCCCCGUUGCUUCCUCGCCUCGGGUGCUGCUCCACCUUCCGGUCCUUGACGAGCCCCUGUGUAGAGGCUUCCUCCUACUCCUUCUCUCAGAACGCUCGAGACACAGCAGCUCCCAGGCCGUUCACCGUCGGCACCAUAGUCCGUUCACCACCGACACCCAAGGCCGUUCACCGACGCAACGAUGAGAUUUGGCCAUUGUCACCCACGACCGCACACUCGUAUCUCUCCAGCUUCAAGUAGUGUCCUCCUCUAGCUGCAUGUCACGUUCUCCUCCAGCUGCAGGCUAAUGCUAUGGUGCACAUUCAAGGCAGCAAGCAAACCACAGGUCGCAGCGCCGCCGUUGACCACAUGUGCGCAUGCAUGCGAUUGAUGCGUGUGUGCUUUAGGUAUGCAUCUCAAUGCCUCCUCCCUUCCUCUUUUCAUGUAGCAUAUUUUGAAAAAAUUAGACGCUUUCAACUGAAUAAAAAAUGUGUCACACAAGUUUAGGUAUAAGUGCGGCAGGACUAUAGAAAUCUGAACAAACAAAGCUCAAACCAAAAGCUAAUGUACGUGUGAUGUCCAGUUUCUUCCUUCGGUUCAGUUCAAUUUAAUCCGUUCAAUAUGUGCAAUUUAAUGGAUGAGUGUUAUCUAGAUCCUUUUAAUCUGAAGGUAGUUGCACCACUAAGGAAAGUAAAAAAAAACCAGUAUUUUCUAUAGACAAGAAAUGGGCAUUUGGCUCAGUAAUCGUCCAUUACUAGAGGUAUUGUCACUUGACCAUUUUCCAGAACUAGUUUCAAUUCAUGGACUACCGGCACUUGCAAAAUCAAAGAGGCUGACCAUACCAAAGUGCCCAAAGUUGAAGCAAAGGAGAUGAGAUGCUACAAAAAAGGUACACAUGCUAACAUUAGUUUUAUCUUCCAGCCUUUACUCUGCUCUUGUCUGAAGUUUUUGAAAGCAAAUCAUUAACUUGAAACUCCCCACCUCUUCAACGGGUCUAGCCAUAGCUGCAGGCAGCAGAGGAUAAAAAAUGCAUGGAUUAAUUGGAACAAAUCACACAUAGGCUAUGGGCUACAGAUCACACACACAUAUUAGCAAAAUGUGCUAUAGAUUAGAUUGAUUGAUACUCCCUCCGUAAACUAAUAUAAGAGUGUUUAGAUCACUAUUUUAGUGAUCUAAACGCUCUUAUAUUAGUUUACAGAGGGAGUACCUCCUAGUGUAGUAUUUCUGUAACUGUAUUUGGUCUGCACUUAUAGGAUUUAGGGAAGUACUGCAAAAAUGUCUUGCAUUUAGUUACAGAGGUAGUAUCUGAUAAACAUCAUCAGUUCUCAUAUAAAAAAAGUGUCUAAGUCCACCUUGCAAAACAACAUCAGUUCUGUACAAAACAACAAUCUCUCACACAGUACAACAACUUGUUGUUACUUCUAUGGAGGCACUGACCUCGUAAUUUUUUUGGACCAACCACGGACUUGAGAAUUAGACAUGGUGCUCACUAUAUUCUCUCAACCUUGAUUGUCUUGCAGUGCUUAUAAGCUUAAUUGUGAAUAGAACUCUUUAUUUCUUGUUUUUUAUACUCAGAAGAAACCUUGUGAAUGUUCAGAUCAGGGAAACAGGAGGGCUCACCAACAAAAGCCACUAAAAAGUAUAGAAAUUUAUAGGGGUGGGUGAAGUACAAGAAUACAAAAAGUUAAGAGUUGAGAAAUCAAAAAAGUUCAAAGGCCUCUUCCAUUCACAAACACACGCCUCUGGCUACUUGAGAUGCGCUGGCGUCAUCGCCCAUCCGAAAAUCGCAGUGCCUAUCGAGCUGCUUUGUCAAAAGCUUGCAUCGAUAGUUAACCCGGUACUAUUACUGUUACCUUCUAUUAUACAAAAUUUAGAGCUUCAGUCCAACUAUGUUGCUUCUGCGAUUAUCCAUACGUAGAAAAUUACACUAAACAUUGUUUUGUUCUCUAAACCUAAACACAUUUUUUCUUUGAGCUUAAAUGCAUUUUUUUCUCUGAACAUAAAUGGGAUAGUUCUCUGAACUUAAGUGUGUGUGUUCUAUGUGUAUUCUGUGAGUGUUAGAGAACAAUGAGUGUUGCCUGUCAACUACUGGUUUGGCCAGUUUCAAAUUUUGGCCUGGUUGAACUUUUGAUAGAGCAUCGGUCUAGUGCACUCAAAGCAUAAAGAGGGUUUGACCUGUUAUUGAUGGAUCACUAUAACUUAACUUAUCAUGUCAGUUCUAGUGCGACACUAGCUAAGGUACAAAUGUACUGAAUGUUCACACCUUUAAUCUUUUAAUUUUGUGAACAAACAUCAAUUCCGUAUGAAAAAGAAACAUAAUAAGUCAACUUUGCAAGUGCAUCAGUUCACCUUGAAUAAAAUACAGAAGUGCACCAUCAAAUUUUCCAUCAGUUCGCUUAUAAAAAAACAGAAAGUUGGUUGUGUAAAGAAAACCGGAGAAUCAAUGUCAGCCUAGAAGUUCACUAGGGAACUCCAAUCAAGUGCACUUGUUAGAAAAAUUUUGGUUUACUAUAUUUUAUAGACUGCAGAAAUUUUGAACUUACUAUUUUGAAAUUUUAGUUGUCAUUAUGCAAAGUUGUACAUUGGACUAAAAAUUGCCUUUUUUGAUCUUUUGUUCUGAACCUUUUUUCUGAACUUACUAUACUGUUUGUGUACAUUAUCCUCUCGUUAGUUUUGUGAUUUUAGACAAAGUUUCAGCCUUCGAGCAAUAGCUCGUCCACCACGGGUGCUUGCAGCCGUCCAGGUCCAAGUCGAGGGUUGACGCGAUUCCAAGUAGAAUCGCACCCACCAUCUUCACUAGCACUGUGCAACCGCCAAGUCGAGCACACACACACAAGGAAAAAAGUGAAAGUACAUGUUUUGAAAAUUUAUUGUUGGCAUGAUUCUUGAAUUGGGGACUGGAGUUCAAGUAUUAAAUCCAGGCAAGUUCAAAAAUUAAACCACAACAAGUUCUUGUUUAUUUAGCAAUAUUAAGUUGACUGUGCAAAAAUCAGUGGUUUAAAUAUGAAAGAAGAAUGUAAAAGGUCCAACAUGCGCAUGUUGCCAGUGCCCCUAGUAGGCCUCUACCUCCGGCUGCCAGUGCAGCUCACGGCUACCUGUACUCCUCCAACAUGUGCACGGUUGCUGCUCUCCUCUGCUUUCUCUCUCUCUCUCUUGCAUGAUGUUGUUGCUCCUCUCAAAUCUCUCUAGCUCUAUUAAUUCAUGAUGCUGCCUCAUCUCUGAAUUGUUGUGGUGACGCUAAGGUUUUGUUGUCACCCACAGGAUCCCCUGCCUCCAUGUCCAUAUUCAGAUGUGCUGCAAGUUCAAUUGUUUCAGUUCGAGCGGGUGCACAAAACACAAUGUGUAGUCCGUACUGUCCACAUGUGCUGCAAGUUCAAUUGUUUCAGUUCGAGCAUUUGCUACCCUAGUCAUUUGUUUGUUGCUAAAAUGUUGGAGUCGUACUUCUCAUUCUUGCAUGAAUUUUUAUAUACCAUCGUGUUUAUUUCUAAAUGCCAACCACUUUUUUUUGCCGUCAGGUGUUUGCUUAAAUGCCUAAACAAAGAUCUAUUUUAGUUCAGUGCAAAUCUUCUUAUAAGUUCAGUACAAUUUCUUAUUUUAGUGUGAGCAAUCCUUCAAAUGUCUUGCCUUAUAUUACUGCUCAUCCAUCAUAUCUUUGUGUACUCUUUCUUGAUGUCAGUACACAGAACAAAAAAAAAUUACGUCAAAUUGACAAUUUUUAAUCUCUUCUAUGUUAGUAUAGGCUACAUGUAUACAACAUUUAAUCUGUAGUAGUAGUAGCAGUUUUGCUAUGUAAAGGAGCAGCGGAACUCCAGUAAUUUGUGAGAAUAUCACAUUGGAUACAUGAGUGCAGGAUUAAUACAUUGUUAAUUAUUGCAGGUAGGUCAGACCUUAGAAGCCACUUGCAGCCGCACUUGCCAGCACCCGUGACGAGCCACCCCACCGGCCCCCAAGGCGCGCCAUCCCACAGUCCGCUGGGCAUGGCGUCCUCCUGAAAUAAAAUAAAUGCGCCAUGCUCAAUCCAACCCUGUGGCUUCUGGUGGCCGAGUUCGUCACGACCAUCAGUUCGGAGACCUGCGUCACUGCCCGUGACGCUACAAUGGCCACCUGCAUCACUGCGUGCUCCGUCAACAGCCUCCUGCACAAGGCAACAGGAGUAGAGACGUCUGAGAUGCUCUGUUCUAGCGAGGUGGCUAAUUAUGUUUGUCAGUUUGAAAUACUUUGGCCACAGUGUACUUAUGUAUCUUUUUCUGGCCGGAGCACAAUCGGAGCUUAUGUCAGUACGAACUUUGAUUGUGAUGGUACUACAGACUCUAUAAAAACACCAGCAAUCCAUUUUUACUGGUACCUUUUAUAUGAUUCA